GCGUUCGCUCUUGUCCCUUCUCUUCAAAUCCACGUACUUGCACUUCGAAAGUAGCAGGUUUGGCCAGUUGGUAUAGAAUUCGUCCAGAUAUUAAUGUUAAAGUACUGUUAAUGUGUGUUGCAACUUGAAACACUAACCUGUGACUGAAAAUGGAGCCGGGAAGAUGCAGAGCAUCAAAAGCAGACCGAGUACGUGAGGUAAUAGUGAAGAACACUUCUUUCCCAUGUUUCUGUCUCUCUUUUAUACUUGUUAAUUUGCUCUAUUUCUUCUGGUGUAGAGACGUUUAUUUAUAUAUCCAAGUAGAGAGAAAAGGGAAGUACUGAGAAGCCAAAUCAAAGAGAUGAGAUCGAACACACACCUAAAAGAAAUAGUAUUGGUUUCUCCGUCACUUAUUUGAAUUUUUACCUUCUCCUCUUGGAUCUUAGUGCAUUUCUUAUAUUUUAAAGUUUAGCAACGUUUCCAAGUUGGAGUAUUUUUGUUCAUAUUGUAUUUAAAAUUU
Molecule: non-coding RNA, 499 nt
Organism: Camelina sativa (false flax)
Lineage: Eukaryota; Viridiplantae; Streptophyta; Magnoliopsida; Brassicales; Brassicaceae
Source: RefSeq, a predicted model, not a curated record